RNAcentral lists this ribosomal RNA (158 nucleotides) under Leucophleps spinispora. RNAcentral describes it as "5.8S ribosomal RNA". It matches the Rfam family "5.8S ribosomal RNA". Rfam says of the family: 5.8S ribosomal RNA (5.8S rRNA) is a component of the large subunit of the eukaryotic ribosome. It is transcribed by RNA polymerase I as part of the 45S precursor that also contains 18S and 28S rRNA. Lineage: Eukaryota; Fungi; Basidiomycota; Agaricomycetes; Boletales; Leucogastraceae. The record is from RNAcentral.
CAACUUUCAACAACGGAUCUCUUGGCUCUCGCAUCGAUGAAGAACGCAGCGAAAUGCGAGAAGUAAUGUGAAUUGCAAAAUUCAGUGAAUCAUCGAAUCUUUGAACGCACCUUGCGCCUCUUGGUAUUCCGAGGGGCACGCCUGUUUGAGUAUCGUGA